UCCCUGGUAGCUCAAUCGGUAAAGAAUCUGCCUACAGUUCAGGAGACCUGGGUUCAAUCCCUGGUUUGGGAA
This 72-nucleotide transfer RNA is filed under the name Bos taurus (domestic cattle). It matches the Rfam family "tRNA". From Rfam's summary of the family: Transfer RNA (tRNA) molecules are approximately 80 nucleotides in length. Their secondary structure includes four short double-helical elements and three loops (D, anti-codon, and T loops). Further hydrogen bonds mediate the characteristic L-shaped molecular structure. tRNAs have two regions of fundamental functional importance: the anti-codon, which is responsible for specific mRNA codon recognition, and the 3' end, to which the tRNAs corresponding amino acid is attached (by aminoacyl-tRNA synthetases). tRNAs cope with the degeneracy of the genetic code in two manners: having more than one tRNA (with a specific anti-codon) for a particular amino acid; and 'wobble' base-pairing, i.e. permitting non-standard base-pairing at the 3rd anti-codon position. The record is from Rfam by way of RNAcentral. Lineage: Eukaryota; Metazoa; Chordata; Mammalia; Artiodactyla; Bovidae. RNAcentral also lists the same sequence under 5 other names.